This 780-nucleotide ribosomal RNA is filed under the name Arrhenia acerosa. RNAcentral describes it as "partial large subunit ribosomal RNA". It matches the Rfam family "Eukaryotic large subunit ribosomal RNA", at positions 88 to 879 of the family's 3401-position model. The record is from RNAcentral. Lineage: Eukaryota; Fungi; Basidiomycota; Agaricomycetes; Agaricales; Hygrophoraceae.
UGCGACUGCAGCGGGAAAAGCUCAAAUUUCAAAUUUGGUGGUCCUUGGCCUUUCGACUUGUAACUUUUGAUUGUUAUCCGCUCUGGACCGUGUACCCUCCCCUGGAAUGGGGCGUCAUAGAGGGUGAGAAUCCCGUCUUUGACCCUGAUUACCAGGGCUUUGUGAUGCACUCUCAAAGAGUCGAGUUGUUUGGGAAUGCAUCUCAAAAUGGGCGGUAAAUUCCAUCUAAAUCUAAUUAUUGGCGAGAGACCGAUAGCGAACAAGUACCGUGAGGGAAAGAUGAAAAGAACUUUGGAAAGAGAGUUAAACAGUACGUGAAAUUGUUGAAAGGGAAACGCUUGAAGUCAGUCGCGUCUGCCAGGGAUCAACCUUACUUUUGUGAGGCGUACUUCUUGGUUGAUGGUUCAGCAUCAUUUUUGGCCGCUGGAUAACGGUCAGAGAAAUGUGGCCCCUUCGGGUGUGUUAUAUUCUUUGAUCACAUACUCUGGCUGGGACUGAGGAACUCAUCGCCGCAAGGCUGUCUUAAGAUGCUGCUAUAUGGCUUUUAUCGACCCGUCUUGAUACUCGGACCCGGAUUCUAACAUGCCUGCGAGUGUUUGGGUGGAAUACCCGAGCGCGUAAUGAAAGUGAAAGUUGGGAUCCCUGUCAUGGGGAGCACCGACGCCCAUACCAGAAGUUUACCGACGCAUAUGCCGGUGGAUCUUGUAUGUUGAGACCCGAUAGAUGGUGAUCUAUGCCUGAACAGGAUGAUGCACGAGGAAUCUCUGGUGGAGGCUCGUA